RNAcentral lists this ribosomal RNA (479 nucleotides) under Saccharomyces cerevisiae (brewer's yeast). RNAcentral describes it as "partial large subunit ribosomal RNA". It matches the Rfam family "Eukaryotic large subunit ribosomal RNA", at positions 121 to 603 of the family's 3401-position model. The record is from RNAcentral. Lineage: Eukaryota; Fungi; Ascomycota; Saccharomycetes; Saccharomycetales; Saccharomycetaceae.
UCUGGUACCUUCGGUGCCCGAGUUGUAAUUUGGAGAGGGCAACUUUGGGGCCGUUCCUUGUCUAUGUUCCUUGGAACAGGACGUCAUAGAGGGUGAGAAUCCCGUGUGGCGAGGAGUGCGGUUCUUUGUAAAGUGCCUUCGAAGAGUCGAGUUGUUUGGGAAUGCAGCUCUAAGUGGGUGGUAAAUUCCAUCUAAAGCUAAAUAUUGGCGAGAGACCGAUAGCGAACAAGUACAGUGAUGGAAAGAUGAAAAGAACUUUGAAAAGAGAGUGAAAAAGUACGUGAAAUUGUUGAAAGGGAAGGGCAUUUGAUCAGACAUGGUGUUUUGUGCCCUCUGCUCCUUGUGGGUAGGGGAAUCUCGCAUUUCACUGGGCCAGCAUCAGUUUUGGUGGCAGGAUAAAUCCAUAGGAAUGUAGCUUGCCUCGGUAAGUAUUAUAGCCUGUGGGAAUACUGCCAGCUGGGACUGAGGACUGCGACGUA